Molecule: long non-coding RNA, 32179 nt
Filed under: Citrus sinensis (sweet orange)
Lineage: Eukaryota; Viridiplantae; Streptophyta; Magnoliopsida; Sapindales; Rutaceae
Description: long non-coding RNA (CSIN_LNC001575)
Source: RNAcentral
ACAGAGAAGCUGAAAAUUAAGUAAACAUUGAUAAGUCUAAGCAGAUUGAAUGACAAGGAAAAAAAACUAAUGAUGGAGAUUGAAGGAAAAUAUUACUUACACAAUGCGCUGAGGAUUCCAGAGGAUAGAAUAGGUGUGAAAGUCAGCAGCGGGGUCAAACCAGAGGUGAAAUUGUUGCUCUCUGUCACCUUUGCCAUUUGUAAAGACAUUGGUAUGAAGAGUGUAAGGGUCACCACUUAAAUUUCCCAAGAAUUCAAAGUCUAUCUCAUCCCAUGUUGAUCCCGGUGAUUUUAGCUGCAUUAAAAAAAAAAAAAAACAGAUAUUUAUAUGUAUCAUCACAUAUGAUUAUUCAACUACGACCCAGUUUGCAUGCAUAAUACUUGCGUAUGAUUAAGUUGUAUUAAAAGAAGGAACUUACGUAAUAAGCAGUGACAGUGCCAGCAGAGUUGCCUGGGACAAGCUUGAGCUGCAUGUCAAUCUUGCCGUAUAGAUACUCAUUCUUGGACUGGAAUCCUGAGCCAGAAGCUUUAUCGAGGGAAAGAGUAAGAAGGUCGCCAUUGUUGAGCAUCUUGGCACGGCCAUCUCCCCAGGUGAUGUCAAAAUCUUUGUAGAAGUUACCAGCAGAUGCAACCAUCAAAGAGCCAAGCACAAGAAACAAAUGCAACGUUGAAGCCAUUGACAUAUGCUUGAGCAAACGAGGUACAAGUAGUGUUUGAAUUAACUGAGAGAAGUUUGUAAUUCGAAAGUGGAGCGAUGAAUGUGUUUAAGACCAUUGUGUUGUAUUUAUAGCCGGUGAAGAUGGGAAAUGUAAAAUGCAGAGGAAAGUGAAGGGAAAGGUCCAGUGAGCUCGGCUGUGGACAGUUGUUGGCUUGAAAAAAGUAUAAUAAAAUAGCUGUGCAUAUCGCACUAACAAGCAUUAUCCGACCAGCCAUAUUUUAUUAUAGCACGCGGUUUUUGCAUUAUUUUUGGGACCAAACGACUUCCGUUUAGUUUAGUAUGUGCCGCUGUCGUGGUCCCACUACCAGCUGACUCUUAUUAGAUUUUCCCACCGCCACUACUAAAGACAGUUGAAUUCACAUGAUGCGACCCUCUCUUCAGAUUUUCAGCUUUUUUUAUUAAUUGAUUCUCAAGGCAAGAGCAAAUGAAUAAUAUUAUAAUAAUACUAAGAAUAACAUAGAACUUAUUAAGAAAUUCCAGAAUUGAAAAUUCUCCUCACUAGCAAUUCAGUGUUCACCCAAGUGACAAUUAUGUUAUAUUUAUUCUGUUUGAAUUCUUAAUUUAGUAACUCCAAAAUUAAUCUUUUAUUGUCAUGUAUAUAAUAUUUAUUUUAUUAUUAAUUAUUUGUUAUCAACCUAAUUAAUAAAUGAUACAUAAAAUGUAAUAUUAAGGAGGAGACAAACUAAAUAUCCGAAUUGGGUUGGCAAUAACCGCAUGACAUUACUCAAAUUUUAUGUUACUGGCGUUGUCUAACACGCGAGACGGUGGUGGGUUUCGCUUGCCAUUCACUUGGACCUAACUGUAUGUAAAAUGAAUGUUUGUUUUGAAAAGGGAACUAGGCGGCGCCUUGUCUUCCCUUUCUUUAUAAACAAUUAACAAAUCAAGCAAAACCGCGUCUGGAAAACUUGGUCUGCGCCAUUUUAAUGAACAGUCAUUUGCUACAUUACUUUGCCAACUAUUACCAAAACGUACUGAAGUUUCCCGUGUAUCUUCUCUCCGUUCAACUCUGCCUAAACUUAUAGGAUAAAAACACCAACUAAGCACAACCUUUUCAUCAUUUCAGAUUCUUUUACAUUUCUAAUACUAUUCACAUGCAAAACAUUCCAGUGGCUUGCUUUCUAGUUUCUUCAUAUAUUCCGUCCAUGUUGAUGGUCAGUUUUGUGAUUUUCUCUCUAAUUGUAGCUUCUUCUGCUAACUUCUACCAAGAUUUUGAUAAUACUCGGGGAGAUAGACUUUGAAUUCUUGGGCAAUUUAAGUGGUGACCCUUACACUCUGCACACCAAUGUAUUCACAAAUGGCAAAGGUGACAGAGAGCAACAAUUUCACCUCUGGUUUGACCUUACUGCCGAUUUUCAUACCUAUUCCAUCCUCUGGAAUCCUCAGCGCAUUGUGUAAGUACUGUUUUUUUCCCUGUCGUUAAUUUGCUUAGACUUAUAACUUUUUUCAUUGUAAUUUCCAGCUUCUCUGUUGAUGGCACCCCCAUAAGAGAAUUCAAGAACUCAGAAUCAAUUGGAGUGCCAUUUCUAAAGAAUCAACCAAUGAGGAUGUACUCUUCUCUACGGAAUGCUGAUGACUAGGCUACAAGAGGUGGCCUUAUCAAGACACAAUGGACACAUGCUCCUUUCGCCGCUUCUUAUAGAAACUUCAAUGCUGAUGCAUGUGUCUCGUCUAAUGGAAUAUCUUCUUGUGCUUCAAGUUCACCUUCCUCUCCAUAUAUCCAACGGCUGCUCCUGGUUCUCACAAGAGCUUGAUUCAACAAGUUAAGAAAGGCUGAAAUGGGUACAAAAGACAUACAUGAUUUACAACUACUGCACCGACGCAAAGAGAUUUCCUCAAGGCCUUCCUUUGAAAAGAAAAAAUCUCCUAAAGAAGUGAUUAAAUCAAACAGAUAAAUCAGUGUAAACUUAUUACAUUCAAUUAUAUGCUCUCUGUAGAGCUAUUCUUUGCAGUCUUGGUCAUCAAUAAAAAGACAGAUUUGUCAUUCUUUAUAUCAGAAGUGUUAUAAUACGAAUUUUAUUGGAAAGAUGCAGAUGUGAUUUAUUAUAAAUUCAAUAUACUUAAUGUAAAAAGACUUAAAAGAUUGAGCUUUACUCAUCUAAAGUUCUCACAGACCAUAUCAACGUGAUCCCUUUCUAGCAUAUUCGCAUCUUAAUUCAUAUGAUAACUGAUACAACAUCAAUACUAUUAUUAUAACUUUAUUUUGAUAUUACAACAUAAAGUUUGAGCAUGAAAUAAACUACAUUAUUUACUUUAACUGUAGAAAUCAAAAUUAGAAUAAAUUGUAUUAUCAUUGAUGUGUUUAGUUUGUCUUGAAAUCUUAGUCAUAAUAAAUUAGACUGUCAUAAAUUACUAAAAAGUUUUUAAUUAAUUAUUAUCAUAAUUAUUAUUUUAUAUUUUAAUUAAUGUAAUUAUUGUUAUUCAGAAAUUAUUAUUAUUAAUUAUUGUUAAUAAUAAUAAUAAUAUCAUUAACAUGAAUAUAUUAAUUAUAAUAUUUUUUUAUCAAUAAUAAUGAUAAUAAUACAUUUGAAAAUCAUAAUAACAAUAAUAAUAAUCAAAAUCAUCAUCAUCAACGACAACAACAAAUCAAAAUCGGAUUUGGAUCAUAAUAUCAUCGUCGUUGUCGACAUCAUCAUCGGUGAUGGUUGUUGUUGCUAGAUCGUUGUUGCUAUUGCUCCUGCUCAACGGUCAGCGACGACCAAUGACGUUGAUUUUUGCAGUAACAGUUUGGUGAAGACGAUGAAAAUCGGUGAGGCUUCAAUUUACAGCGACUGUUUGCUGUGGUUUUUUUUUCUAUUUAAAUUUUUUUAAUUGAAUGAAGGUGUUGAUGCUGAAAUCUGCUCGCCUCUUGACCGACCAGAUUCUUUCACCAACGUUUGUGUUAUCUACUGUUGCUCGUUCACUGGGAUUGGAAUCGUCCUCCUUUCUCUCAAUAGACCUGCACUCACUAAAAAUGGAUCAGAGACGCCGGUGGUUUUGCCGGCGUAAACCCUCCGAUGCCUAAGUUAGCACAAGGUGUUUACGGGAAAACAGUGUAAUUUGGAUUCCAGGAGCUUAUUAAAAAUUUGUAAGGAAAUGGCCUAGUUGCAAUUUGGCAGCGUUUUCCCUCUCUCUUUUUUUUUUUCCCCUUUCUUCACCGAUUUCUUCUUCUUUUAUAGCCGCUGUCCCCACGUUUCCGUUUGCCAUUCAUCCCACCUUUUUCGGGUAGUGGCAGCCCCUCAUGGGAUUUUAACUGCUACAUUGUGGGCAAACGUGGGAUCUCGCAUCUCCCACAACGGUUCUGGGAAAAGCGCAACUACCGCGAUUCUGUGGGAUCGUGUUUCCGCUUUUUGAGGGACGGGUACCGACUCGGUAUACGACUCUGGUCGGUAUUCGUCUCUGAUCAGCUCAUGUUACCCCCUGUUCUGCUCGUACCAUUUGGCUGAGGUGAUUCAUGCCGGGGUGGAAAUAGUAGCAUGGCCGACCUGGUGCUUUUAUUUGCUUAACACCAGUCCCCCAGUUUUUGGUCUUGUGAGUGAAAUGAGUCAAGAGUAGAAACUGAUAGUCAAAUCUUACCAAUCCAGGGGCUUCUCCUCUGAUCUUUCGUCUACCGGGAUGGACCUGAGGUAUCAUUUUUCUUCAGGGGAGAUUUUGACCUGAGCAUGGGCCUAAAUGAGUAUGUCCAUUGCGUAUCUGGGCUUGCAUCUAGCCUGGCCUCUUAUAACGAUUGGUGACGUGGCAUCUCCCGACUCUUCGUAUUUGAAAUUUGAAACGACGGGCUAUCUGUCCUUGAUGUACGGUGAGUGAGCUGGCGUCUCUAUCACUUAAAUGCUUUCAUUUCCCCUUUUUCGUUUCAAAUCCCUAGACUUAUAUCUGCAUCGCUUUGUUAUUCAUCUCUUCAUCGUUAACUAACUCCCUCUCUGAACUUUGCUUACACUUCUCGUGUCUGGAGUAUCCACUCGCUGAAUUUUUUCUCUAUCACGGUCGCGCUAUCAGUGCCAGUUCAAUCCAGGUAUUGCCUUUAACUUCUCCUCUGGUUAUUGUUGAUUGGGUUCUGUGUUGCCCUUUUUGUGUCCAUAUACUCGAGUUUUCUUUGUUUUCUUUUGAGGUUCUGAUAUGUCAAACCGAAAAAGAAAGUUAAUUGUUGAUGAGGAUGAUGAAGAAUCAGGGGAUUCAGGCCUCAACGUGUCAAUACCCACCUAUUUCUUAGGUCCCUCCAGUAAUGUAGGUCCUUCCCAUGGCAGGGAUACCCUUGAGUACCCACGCCCCUUGGUUGUCUCUUCCUUUCCCGAACUAGAGCUUGUAGGGAAUAGAGGUGGACUUGCGUCGGGAUCUGGUGAGAACCACAGCUUUGGUGGGGUUGGGAUCCGUGAAGGAGUUGGCGAUGGUGAGGGGAGCAGUUCCGGACCGAGCGGUCUUGCUAAGAAAAGGAAUAUUGGCCAUAGGGUGGAGGCUGAUUUCUACCCUAUUGAUUACAUAGCCUGUGCCACCACCCAAACUGACUUAUUCAAGCUUAGGAACCUCUACGACAUUCCUGAGGAGGUUCUUCUUGUAGUUCCUGGGAAGGGUGACGUUCCUAGUCGGCCUCCACGGGGGUAUGUGACAAUGCACCUAGAGAGUUUCAAACUAGGAGCUCGGCUGCCCCUUCAGCGUUAUUUUUCCAAAAUAUUGGGGGGUAUGCACCUGGCCCCAGAUCAGCUACACCCGAACGGGUGGAGGGUUCUCUCGGCAAUGUUUGUGUUGUGGUAGAGGUGCGGGUCGGAGGAGCCUUCCCUUGUUGAAGUGAAACAUCUGUAUCAGCUGCGGAGCAGCCCAAGGGAGGCGGGCUGGUAUUACUUCAUGUCCAGUUCCGCAAAGAGAAAGCCAAUCACUGGUUUCCCCUCCUCGUGCAAAAAUUGGAAGAACAAAUUCUUCUUUGCUGGGGGAAAGUGGUGUUCAGCACUCCGUUCGUUGGGUGGUGAUAUUUACCUUCCAACGCAGUUUGUCACCCCAGGUCGUUCAUUUUUUGCCUAUAUUCCUUCUCAAACUGUCACUUAUCGAGUUCUUUAACCUCUUUUGCUAUUUCAGAGUCGUGGGGUUUGAUCGGGGGGCUUAAAGAUUGACCUUUGCUUCAGGUGGAAACUGCUCUGUUGAACGCGUCUACCUGCCAAGACCUCCUGUCGCCAACAAACCUGGUCGGUUCGGGCCUAGUAGACAUAGCCGCUGGAAUGGAUAACAAAAUCCUUAGCGCGAUGAGCAGGAAGCGUGGUCGGGCUCCGAGUAGCUCCAACAACCUUCCCCCUCCUCCAAAGAAACCCAGCGUCUGUCUUUCCAAGGCGCCUGUUCCUGCUCUGCCCCCUCCUCCACCUCGUAAGAGUGGUGGGGAGAAAACCUACGACAAGAGUCCUGAGGUCAGCUUGCAAUCUGAGGACCGAUCUUCUCCUCUUCUAUCUCGGGAUCAAGGUGACUACCUGAGCCCAUAUCAGAAGGAUUAUAAAAAAUCGGUUGGGCCCAAGAUGGUGAAGGACAUCGAGAGCAUGAGUCUCUCCGAGUUAGCUGCUUUUAUUCAAAGAGUCUCCUUCAGGUUGUCCACAAUGGUCUCGUGCUACAAGACCGGGUCCGCGCGUCAUGAGAAGAAGCUUCAAGCUGACAAUCAGGAGUUGAAAAAGAAAGCUGAAUCUGCUGACCGCUCCAAGGAGAAACUAGCCGAGCUGAACAAGCAGAUUACAGAGCUGGAGGAGAAAGUUGCAGUUGCUGAGUCUACUGCCUCCAGGUUUGAGGGUGAGUUGGAUGGCCUGAAGUCGGACCUUCAGGUAACUCAAAGUGAAAGAGAUACUUUGAGGACCGCCCUUGAGGGAGAAAUCAAAUCCCUGAAUGAGCAGCUGGCUGAGGAGAAAGGCAAAUCCGCUGAUGUGGACGAUCGGUUGGAUGCCGAGUAUGACUCGGGGGUUGCUUUCUCCUAUAAGUGUAUCAUGUCUGUGCUUCAGGGAGAAUAUCCCGAGCUGGACAUGAGCAAGUUGGAGGCUGGAGUGCAGCGGUAUAUGGCAGAGGUCGGCCAGGCGGACAAUGAGCAGGGUGAGCAGGAUCAGGUGGAGGCUCCUUUGGAUGAGGUGCAAGAGGGGGAAGCUGGGGGACGUCCUUUCGAAGUGGGUCAAGGGUCCAUGCCUCCUCCUCCCGGCAUUGCUGAUCUCCCACCUCCUGAACUGCUGUACGGCCAAGGCGGAUGUACGGUACAGCAGUUUGUAAACAAUUGAACAUUUAUAAAUUUUUAGAUGCUCUUUAUUUGCUUUCUUGUUCGGUUUUUGCUAAUAGAUUGUUUCUGAAAAACAAUUGGAUAACUUAUCUGAUUUUGCCUGCUGGUUCCUUAGCGAACUGAGCAGGAGUAGACAUUUACUUGCCUUAGUAAAAUUUCCAUAAAACUGGUUGCUUGUCUUCAUUGACCGAGCCGAACUAGGCACUUACUUGCCUUAAUAGGAUUUUUUGUAGAAUUAGCUGCUGGUCUUUCGUUGACCGAGCAGAAGUAGGCAUUUACUUGCCUUAGUAGGAUCUUCGUAGAUUUAGCUGCUGGUCUUUCGUUGACCGAGCAGAAGUAGGCAUUUACUUGCCUUAGUAGGAUCUUCGUAGAUUUAGCUGCUGGUCUUUCGUUGACCGAGCAGAAGUAGGCACUUACUUGCCUUAGUAGAAUCUUCGUAAAUUUAGCUGCUGGUCUUUGGUUAACCGAGCAGAAGUAGGCGCUUACUUGCCUUAGUAGAAUCUUCGUAGAUUUAGCUGCUGGUCUUUCGUUGACCGAGCAGAAGUAGGCACUUACUUGCCUUAGUAGAAUCUUGGUAAAUUUAACUACUGGUCUUUCGUUGACCGAGCAGAAGUAGGCACUUACUUGUCUUAGUAAGAUUUUUUGCUUCAAGCUGACAAUCAGGAGUUGAAAAAGAAAGCUGAAUCUGCUGACCGCUCCAAGGAGAAACUAGCCGAGCUGAACAAGCAGAUUACAGAGCUGGAGGAGAAAGUUGCAGUUGCUGAGUCCACUGCCUCCAAGUUUGAGGGUGAGUUGGGUGGCCUGAAGUCGGACCUUCAGGUAACUCAAAGUGAAAGAGAUACUUUGAGGACCGCCCUUGUGGGAGAAAUCAAAUCCCUGAAUGAGCAGCUGGCUGAGGAGAAAGGCAAAUCCGCUGAUGUGGACGAUCGGUUGGAUGCCGAGUAUGACUCGGGGGUCUCCUGGUCCCGUGGCUCGUAUUACUCUAUACGGGCCUUUCCAUUUUGGGCCAAGAGCACCAUGGUUGGGAUCCCUAGUAUUUUGAUUCACCUUCCUAAGUACCCAAUCUCCUGCUCGGAACUGCCUCACGCGUACAUUCUUGUUGUAAUAACGCGUGACCCUUUGCUGACACUGGGCCACUUUCUGUGAGGCCCCUUCCAUUUUCUCCUCAAGUAGGUCCAGGCUUAAGCAGAUCUGCUCGUCAUUUUCUUCCUCAGCGAAAUAUUCCGUUCGAUGUGUCCCCACUCCAAUCUCUGCUGGGACUACUGCCUCAUGACCAAAAGAUAAAGCGAACGGGGUUUCCCCUGUAGCAGUUUUGUGAGUUGUCCGGUAAGCCCACAAUACCCCUGGUAGCUCGUCAACCCAAGCUCAUUUUUUGAUUGCCAACUUGUGGCAAGCUACCCCGCGAUCAAUUCCGGGCAUAUCUUCAUGAGACCAGGCGAAUAUAUCCGCAUGAGACUGUAGGCAAUUUAUCAGUUCGCCUUUUAUUGCCCCAACCAAUCCUGACCCGAUCUUCACUACUCUGCUCGGGUUGCUUUUGCUUACCGCAACUUCCUCCAGUUUCUCAACAGGCUCUUGGCGGCCCUUUUUAGAGUCUCCUCGAUUAUCUAGAGAGGUAACCUGCAGUGUCUCCUUGGCCGCUGUAGCAUAACAACUCCUUGCCAUCCUCUGGUCACCUUUUACUACGCCAACCACCCCAUUUACUCUGUAUUUCAGUGCCAAGUAAUGCGUGGAUACAACGCAUUGGCUUAUCCUCAUGAAUGGUCUCCCCAGUAUCAUCUGGUAAGGGCUUCUUUCCUCUACCACGACAAAAUCCAGCAUCAUUGUUCUUUCAAAUGGUUUUGUCCCUAUAGUAAUUGGGAGUUCGAUGAUCCCCAUGAGAGUUAACCGUCCCCCUCCAAAUCCCUUUAAGGAUGUAUUUGUCCGCUCAAAUUUCAAGUCUGCGAUCCCCAUAUCAUCUAGAGCCAACUUAAACAGGAUGUCAACCGAGCUGCCUGUGUCUACUAGUAUUCGUCGCAAUUCUGUACCGACCACCAUUGCCUUGAUCACCAAUGCAUCCUCAUGCGGAUAUAAGAUACCCUCUUCAUCGUCAUCUGUCCACAUAAUGGGAACUUGCCGCACUUUUGCCUUCUUGGUUGCCGGCAAAUUGAAAAGCACUUCUUUGCUAGUCAGGGCAUAUCUCCCAUAGUUCUUCCGUGCCCUGUUCGAAUCCCCGGCCAAUGUUGGCCCUCCUGCUAUUACACGGAUGGUCGGCUGUUCACAUUCCAAAUCCCUCUCAACCCCUUCAUCCCGUGUAUAUUGUGAUUCCAUGACAAGGGACAUUCCAUCUACAUACUCGUCUGUUGUAAUAACGCGUGACCCUUUGCUGACACUGGGCCACUUUCUGUGAGGCCCCUUCCAUUUUCUCCUCAAGUAGGUCCAGGCUUAAGCAGAUCUGCUCGUCAUUUUCUAUCAGCUGAACUGCUCGGUUAUCAUGAAUGUCACCUCGGGCUGACACAGUCGCUAACUGAUCUGGUCGACUAGCCAUGGAAUUAGUUGCAUGUGAUGCUCUGGGAGUGUUGUGAUAGGGGUGGGCAGCCAUCUGCCGGAAUUCUCUUUGCCGAUCCGGGAAUGGGGGACGCGGAGGUUGAGCCCGGUUGUGCUGGAACUGCUGUGAUCUCAGAGCCAUGGGGUAAGGGCGGGACCGAGCCGAUAUUCCGCCCAUCACUGAAGAUUCUCCAGCUCGUUUUCCCGACCCGCUCCCUGUCGGGACUCUCCGUUCCUUUCGCCUCAGCUCGUCCAGCUGUUCACUUUUUAUUCUUGCCGAUUUCUCCUCUUCGAUUUCUAUAUCUCGCCUCGCCUGCUCAUACCCCGACGAGUAAUUCUGUACAAGGGGGCUUCUUAAGUUAUACCAUAGUCGGCCGAUUCUUACACCUUCUUUUAAUCCCCUCAACGCCUGCGGGUGAUUAAAAGCUCCCAGAUCCAGCACGGCUCGGUGAUAUCUUUUUACAACCAUUUUGGGCCAAGAGCACCAUGGUUGGGAUCCCUAGUAUUUUGAUUCACCUUCCUAAGUACCCAAUCUCCUGCUCGGAACUGCCUCACGCGUACAUUCUUGUUGUAAUAACGCGUGACCCUUUGCUGACACUGGGCCACUUUCUGUGAGGCCCCUUCCAUUUUCUCCUCAAGUAGGUCCAGGCUUAAGCAGAUCUGCUCGUCAUUUUCUUCCUCAGCGAAAUAUUCCGUUCGAUGUGUCCCCACUCCAAUCUCUGCUGGGACUACUGCCUCAUGACCAAAAGAUAAAGCGAACGGGGUUUCCCCUGUAGCAGUUUUGUGAGUUGUCCGGUAAGCCCACAAUACCCCUGGUAGCUCGUCAACCCAAGCUCAUUGCAGAAUCUGCUCUUAUCCCGUCGGUGAGUCGGUUUUGUUAUUGGGGCUGGAGGGUACAGCAAGCUUCGUCCCUCGAUCCUCUCAUACAAUUCCUCCAUGGAGAUCUUUAACGGAGUGUACUGUCUAUACGCCAAGCUCUGGUCUAUCAGCUGAACUGCUCGGUUAUCAUGAAUGUCACCUCGGGCUGACACAGUCGCUAACUGAUCUGGUCGACUAGCCAUGGAAUUAGUUGCAUGUGAUGCUCUGGGAGUGUUGUGAUAGGGGUGGGCAGCCAUCUGCCGGAAUUCUCUUUGCCGAUCCGGGAAUGGGGGACGCGGAGGUUGAGCCCGGUUGUGCUGGAACUGCUGUGAUCUCAGAGCCAUGGGGUAAGGGCGGGACCGAGCCGAUAUUCCGCCCAUCACUGAAGAUUCUCCAGCUCGUUUUCCCGACCCGCUCCCUGUCGGGACUCUCCGUUCCUUUCGCCUCAGCUCGUCCAGCUGUUCACUUUUUAUUCUUGCCGAUUUCUCCUCUUCGAUUUCUAUAUCUCGCCUCGCCUGCUCAUACCCCGACGAGUAAUUCUGUACAAGGGGGCUUCUUAAGUUAUACCACAGUCGGCCGAUUCUUACACCUUCUUUUAAUCCCCUCAACGCCUGCGGGUGAUUAAAAGCUCCCAGAUCCAGCACGGCUCGGUGAUAUCUUUUUACAAAAUCUCGAAGGGAUUCAUGCUCCUCCUGUUUCAUCCCCAUCAGUUCCAUCAUAUCGUCCUCUGGGGCCAUUGCCCCUCGGAACUGCUCGGCCAACUCCUGGCACAUCUGCUCAUACCCUUUUAUACUUCCUCGGGGCAGCUUGCGGUACCAUUCUCGGGCUCGUCCCUCUAAUGUCAACGGGAACACCCUGCACCUCUGAGCUGAUGUCAGCCCCUGCACACCCGUCAUGUCGUUGAAACGCUCAAUGUGCACCAGCGGGACAUUUCGCCCGGAGUAUUUGAGGUCGGGGAAGCGGAAAUCUCUUGGGAUUAUGGUACUCAUGAUCUCAGUUGAUAACAGAGAUUCUUCAUCUAGCAUUAUCCUCCAGGUCGAGGCUUUCUCUUGCCCUGUAUCUCCUCUAUCACCUACGCCAAUCUGCGCACCUCCCCCUCCAAUUCUAAGGCACGGUCAGGAUCACGUGCAGCUAUAUGGUCUCGUUCCAGCUCGGCAUUGUGUAACCGCUAUCUGAGCUCUCCUUCGUCAACACUGGCACCUCGGCCAUUGACUUCCAGGACCUGUCCGGGGCGAGGUUGGUCCCUCCCUUCAUCCACGCGUUCUCCCGGGACCCGACCAGUACUUCUGUGGGGAUGCACCCCAUUAGGUUGGUCUGCGGGCGGAGGGAUUUCCUCGACUCUACGCCUCCGAAGGCUGGGUUCUACUCCAACUUCAUCUCUUCCCACGGGGGUUUCACAAUCCCUUCUCCGCUCAUCCCUCAGCUCGAACAAUAUGGUUGCGAGAGUCUCCAUUUGUUUCUCCAUCCGCUCCAGUCUAUCUUGCAUCAUCUUCUCUCGGGCUUCAUUUGCAAUUUCCCGGAGAGUGACUGUCUCCCCAGCUUCGUUAUCCUCCCUCAAAGCGUCCUUCCUUGUCACAUCCAUGCCUAACCGUUCGCUGUUUUUCCAGUAACUACUAAUUCGGUGGUAGCUUUUUAUCCAGNNNNNNNNNNNNNNNNNNNNNNNNNNNNNNNNNNNNNNNNNNNNNNNNNNNNNNNNNNNNNNNNNNNNNNNNNNNNNNNNNNNNNNNNNNNNNNNNNNNNNNNNNNNNNNNNNNNNNNNNNNNNNNNNNNNNNNNNNNNNNNNNNNNNNNNNNNNNNNNNNNNNNNNNNNNNNNNNNNNNNNNNNNNNNNNNNNNNNNNNNNNNNNNNNNNNNNNNNNNNNNNNNNNNNNNNNNNNNNNNNNNNNNNNNNNNNNNNNNNNNNNNNNNNNNNNNNNNNNNNNNNNNNNNNNNNNNNNNNNNNNNNNNNNNNNNNNNNNNNNNNNNNNNNNNNNNNNNNNNNNNNNNNNNNNNNNNNNNNNNNNNNNNNNNNNNNNNNNNNNNNNNNNNNNNNNNNNNNNNNNNNNNNNNNNNNNNNNNNNNNNNNNNNNNNNNNNNNNNNNNNNNNNNNNNNNNNNNNNNNNNNNNNNNNNNNNNNNNNNNNNNNNNNNNNNNNNNNNNNNNNNNNNNNNNNNNNNNNNNNNNNNNNNNNNNNNNNNNNNNNNNNNNNNNNNNNNNNNNNNNNNGUUGAUAACGGAGAUUCUUCAUCUAGCAUUAUCCUCCAGCUCGGGGGCUUUCUCUUGCCCUGUAUCUUCUCUAUCACCUGUGCCAAUCUGCGCACCUCCUCCUCCAAUUCUACGGCACGAUCAGGAUCACGUGCAGCUAUAUGGUCUCGUUCCAGCUUGGCAUUGUGUAACCGCUGUCUGAGCUCUCCUUCGUCAACACUGGCACCUCGGCCAUUGACUUCCAGGACCUGUCCGGGGCGAGGUUGGUCCCUCCCUUCAUCCACGCGUUCUCCCGGGACCCGACCAGUACUUCUGUGGGGAUGCACCCCAUUAGGUUGGUCUGCGGGCGGAGGGAUUUCCUCUACUCUACGCCUCCGGAGGCUGGGUUCUGCUCCAACUUCAUCUCUUCCCACGGGGGUUUCACAAUCCCUUCUCCGCUCAUCCCUCAGCUCGAACAAUAUGGUUGCGAGAGUCUCCAUUUGUUUCUCCAUCCGCUCCAGUCUAUCUUGCAUCAUCUUCUCUCGGGCUUCAUUUGCAAUUUCCCGGAGAGUGACUGUCUCCCCAGCUUCGUUAUCCUCCCUCAAAGCGUCCUUCCUUGUCACAUCCAUGCCUAACUGUUCGCUGUUUUUCCGGUAACUACUAAUUCGGUGGUAGCUUUUUAUCCAGCUCCCCACAGACGGCGCCAAAAUGUUGAUGCUGAAAUCUGCUCGCCUCUUGACCGACCAGAUUCUUUCACCAACGUUUGUGUUAUCUACUGUUGCUUGUUCACUAGGAUUGGAAUCGUCCUUCUUUCUCUCAAUAGACCUGCACUCACUAAAAAUGGAUCAGAGACGCCGGUGGUUUUACCGGCGUAAACCCUCCGAUGCCUAAGUUAGCACAAGGUGUUUACAGGAAAACAGUGUAAUUUGGAUUCCAGGAGCUUAUUAAAAAUUUGUAAGGAAAUGGCCUAGUUGCAAUUUGGCAGCGUUUUCCCUCUCUCUCUUUUUUUCCCCUUUCUUCACCGAUUUCUUCUUCUUUUAUAGCCGUUGUCCCCACGUUUCCGUUUGCCAUUCAUCUCACCUUUUUCGGGUAGUGGCAGCCCCUUAUGGGAUUUUAACUGCUACAUUGUGGGCAAACGUGGGAUCUCGCAUCUCCCACAACGGUUCUGGGAAAAGCGCAACUACCGCGAUUCUGUGGGAUCGUAUUUCCGCUUUUUGGGGGACGGGUACCGGCUCGGUAUACAACUCUGGUCGGUAUUCGUCUCUGAUCAGCUCAUGUUACCCCCUGUUCUGCUCGUACCAUUUGGCUGAGGUGAUUCAUGCCGGGGUGGAAAUAGUAGCAUGGCCGACCUGGUGCUUUUAUUUGCUUAACAGAAGGUAUUUUCAGAAUGUUAAAAUUUCAAUGGGAACAGAUUUUUUAUUCCCAAAAAUCGAUCGUUGAGAAUUAGUCUCGCAUUUUCAUGCUUAUUUUAGUCUUUCAUUUUGAUGCUUAUUUUGUAAAGUAAAUGCUAUUAAUAAUUUCGAUUCUCCAAUCAAGAAAGUAAACAUAAGUAAACAUCGCAGUAAUGUAUAACUAUAGCAAAUUUAUGAUAUAAAGUAUUGUCAUUAUAUAUAUGUUUAUACUCGCGCGGAAUCUACGUAAGCACUCGUGGCCACAGCACACUCAAGAGGAAGCCCUUUUGGGAAGCGCUUUGUGUCUGUACAAUAAUUAUAAAUCAUGUAAUUCUUCUGCACCCACUUGAGUUUCUCUCGGCUUGUUUCAUCAAGCUCAUCGAUCUUCAUCCAUGCAGAGGAUGAAGAAUUCGAAGGGCAAGGCGCAGAAAUGAUUGGACCUGCUGGGUAACGAAUGCAAGUUUUGGCAUUAAAGUUUCUACAAGAAGCUGUAAAUGGAGCUUUUGUCCAAUCUGUUUUGACAAGACCGCCUCUUGUUGCCCAGUCAUCAGCGUUCCAGAGACUCGAGUGUAUUCUCAUUGGUUGGUUUUUUGGGUAAGGAAUGUUGAUUGACUCCAAGUUCUUGAACUCUCUAAUCGGUGUGCCAUCGACAUAGAAUCUGAAAACGUUUUUAAACAAAAAUGUUAGAGAGCCUUUUUAACCCAAAAGAGCCCAAAGAAUAUAUGAAGUAUUAAACCAAAAAAAAGAGACACGUCUAAUAAAAAAAAGAAGAGGAUUAAUUAGUGACUUGAAUUGUUGCUUGUUUUCAACAAGAGAUGAUUAGUGGAUUGAAAUUCUUACACGAUGGUUUUGGGAUUCCAGAGAAUGGAAUAUGUGUGAAAAUCUGAAGUGGGAUCAAACCAGGGAUAAAAUUGCUGCUCUCUGUCACCUUUGCCUUGUGUGAUUACAUUUGUGUGAAAAAUAUAAGGAUCGCCACUGAGAUUUCCCAAGAACUCAAAGUCUAUCUCAUCCCAUGUUGAUCCUUGUGAUGACAACUAUAACACAGAAUUAAAAAUAAGCUUACUCUUAAAGAGAAAAACAUUUUCGUGCAAGAUCACUGGCAGCUUACGCCUUACAUAGUAAGAUGUGACAGUGCCAGCAGAGUUGCCUGGGACAAGCUUGAAUUGCAUGUCAAUUUUGCCAAAUAGAUACUCAUUCUUGGACUGGAAACCUGAGCCUGUGUCUUUGCCAAGGUAAAGAUUGAGGACUUCUCCAUCGUUGCGAAUCCUGACCUUGUCAAUUCCCCAUAUGAUGUCAAAAUCUUGAUAAAAAUUACUAGCUGGUAAAACUAACACAAAAGAGUUAGAUAAUAAAGCAGACAGCAUUAUCAGCACUACUAGUGAUUUAGCCGCAGCCAUUGUGCGAUAUUUAAAAUUUUGUUAUAGUUUUGGAUUUUUAUAGAGACGAAAAGAAAGAAGCGAUUUGCCAUUUGGAAAAAGAAAAAUGAAAAUUUUAAGAGAUAAGAUAGAUGAUGGGGAAGAGUUAGAGUCAAGGAUUAGGCUAGCACUUGUGGGGCAAAGAGCAAGAGCGGGAAACAGAUGGCAAAGACUGAAAUUAGUGAAAAGAAACUGCGAAAAUGCGGAUUUAUGCAUGUCACACAAGUGACAGCCCUAAGCAUGGUUUAUUAACACGUUGAAAUUUUGGCUGAUGGGUGCUUUUUGACCACUCUAUAUAGUUUCCGCAUCUACUGACCGGCUGGGCUCAGCCCUAUGUGAUUAGGAUGACUUUGGAGCAGUUUCCGUACUUAGAAUAGUCCCAAAAUAUGCUUAAGAAAAUGAGCAGGGUGUUCAAAAUCUAAUUCAAUUGGCUUAAUCCCAAAAUUAAUAGUCCCAAAAUUUGACUUUUAUAAUCGCCGAGAGUAAAAAUGAUUAUCUUAAGAUUUCAACAAGUCUUAAUAUAUUUUUCUUCACUUUUCUUUCUAGUAAUCAUGACAAUACAAAAAUUGUAACUAAAAAAGAAGAAUUAUGUACUUGGUCAUGAUUCAUGAGGAGACAUAAUGAAUCUUAUAAAAUGAAACCUUUGACUUCAAUUGGAUCUUGAGUCGCACAACCACUCUAGCUUUAUACAUAUUGUGUCUAGAUAUAAUAAAGUUCAAUGGUGCUCGUCGUUAAUUACUGUUAAAUGAUAAUAAAGUUUUAGCAAGAUGAUAUGAAUAUAAAGAGCAAAACAAUUUCGGAAUAUUUUGAGCUGUCAUAUUUACAUAAUUAACUUAACAGCUAAUAUGUUUAUCAAACAUUUACACAGUAAUAAUUAAUAUUAAUAACUUUUGUAACAACUCAAUCCCAAACUUGCCUCUUUUUAAUGUUUUGAAAUUAAACUUUACCUUUAAAUGUGUUGACAGAUAUUGACUCCUCCAAAUUAGCUCCAUCAACUGAAAUUCACCGCCACGUUUCCCCGACAUCUUAGGCGCCAGCAUCAUUUACACGUGGCAAAAAGAUAACUUUACACUUAUUUGAUAAACACAAAAGUAAAACUUCAAUUAAUCAAAUUAGAAAUAAUAGCUACCUGAUGUCCCAAAAUAUUUGUAUGAAGUCACAUAAAUCUUAUCACAACGAACAAAGUAGCUAGCUAUCACUUCUAUUUGGUCCAUUUUUCAUCUGCAUCAUUUUCCUACGUCCUGCAUGAAGGACCAAAAACAGAAGGAGCAGCUGGGGGAUGAAGGGAAAAACCCUAAUGGUCAAAACCCUUGUGGAGAAAACCCUAAUGGAGAAAGCCCUAAAAAGCAAAAUGAUGAUGCUUCACUUGUACGGCAUCCUGUGAAGAGUACUGGUCAUCAUCUGAUCGCUGAUGAUUCUUAUUUUGAUUCAUUCCCGCCUGGUUACCGAUUCAAACCCCACGAUGGAGAACUUGUGGUUUAUUACUUGCGGAGGAAGAUACUGAAUCAGCCAUUGCCUCCAAACCAGAUCAAGGUGGUGGAGUUGUAUAGGUUUAAUCCUAACACACUUACAGGUUAGGGGAAAAAAAAGUCACUUUUAAUUUCUUAUUUUCUCAAUUUCUGUGUUGUAUGUUGUUUUAUUGGCACGCAUCAUAUAUGAUUAAUUUUUUUUAUAAAAAAAUCUGUUUAUUCCUUAUUUCUCGAGAUUAUUAUUUAUUAGAAUGGAAAUUUUCUGAGUCUCGUUAGUGGCUUCUCUACUCUUUAUUAUUCAAAUUUUGUAGUCUUCGCUUGGGAUAUUUGUGGCUUCUCUACUCUUUUUCACGAUAGAUGUUUAUGCCAUUACAUAUAUAAUAUUACAGUGUAUAUUUUAAUGUGAUGCGAUUUUACAUCAGGUAUGAUUUUAGAUUUAGAUGGUGUUGUAAAUCAGCAUAUAAAAUUUAAUCCCCUCAUAUUGAAAACGUUUAUAAUAUGUUAUUUCUUUCGUAUUAGUUUGUCUACAUUUUUUUUGUUUCAUGAUAUCUUUAUGAAAUUUCUUUUAUUCUGUCCACUGAUGCAAUGAUUUACAGAAAGGUACAAGUCACUUGGUGAAAUGGAAUGUUAUUUCCUUACACCAAGAGAUAGAAAAUAUCGAAAUGGUCUAAGACCCAAUCGAGCUGCUGCAGAUGGGUACUGGAAGGCCACAGGAGCUGAUAAACCUGUUAAGCACAAUGGCAGUUUGGUUGGAUUCAAGAAGGCAUUGGUCUUCUACAAGGGAAAAGCUCCAAAGGGUGAUAAGACUAACUGGAUCAUGCAUGAAUACAUAGUGAAUAAUCCACCACAGAAACAAAAAGGCCGAAAUGAUAUGAGGGUAAAUGAUUUUCCUUGUUGUCCAAAUUCAUUUUUAUUUGAUUCUUUUUUUUGGUUUUAUUCGACUAAUUUCUGCUUCAUACAAGUCCCUUGCAGUUAGAUGACUGGGUUCUCUGUAGGAUCUAUAAGAAAACAAAGCAGUCAGCCAAAGCUUCUACUCGAAAACGAGAGGAUUCAGAGGAGGAUCAACAAUCAAGAAGCGAAGUUGCAACUCAAUCUCAAGAUAGUGGACAAACUUCAGUUGAUGAAAAGGCUAAAAUGCUGCCCAAAACAGAAAAUUUCAAGCCUGAAGGCCUUGGAAUCUUUGAUGUGCCUGAUUACUACAACCAGGGAAGAUUCUUCAGCGCAUAUGAUAAUGUCCUUUUAUCUUGUCAGAGUCCAUAUGCUAAUUUUCAGGAUGGUCAUCAGGGUAAUUCUCAGAAUUGGCUUCCUUUAAUCCCUCAGUCGGGGUUUCAGCAAAUGCUCCAUCAUAAUCCUACGUGGGAGAGCCCUAUGAAGCCUGAACAGUUCGGAUAUCCGCCCGAUGAUGUGUUUAGUGAUCUCCCUUCGGAAGACAAUUGUUUUGAUCCUCUACCUCAUAAUUUUACGAACUUAUAACUCUUUUCAUUUUGUGAUUCGAUUAGUUAAUGGUAGCUGACAUUAAUUGGCAUUUAUAAUAAGUUAGUUAGAGUGUACUUUAGUAGAGGUCGGUUUUCUUGAACUCAAUUUUUCUUGCAAUUCUGUGUACUUUGAUUGUUAUUUAUAUGAAUGUCAGCAGCAUGGAUAUUCAAGGAGAGUUGCUAUUUCUAUGGGUGGUAUGCUAAGGCUCCAUUUGCUUUAGCUUUUUGGUACUAAUUCUGUUACCAUUAUCAAAAUAUUUAAAAUAUUUGUAACUCAACUUUGACAGUACAACUGAUUAUUUCUCACAGUUUUCAGUUGUAACGCUCUUUGAACAAGAUUUUCUAAUCACUAAAAUUAUAUACAUAGUUUCCUAGAAUACCAAAUUAUUUACGUGACGAUCAUAUUCUUUGUUUGCCUCAAAGCUUGAGUUGUUUCUUUUAUCUCUCUUAAUUCCAAUUCAAGAGCUGUUUUCAGAAUUUUUUUUCCUUAAAUCCCAAUAGAAAAAAUGUAACGGAACAAUUUGUUAUGAAUGUAAUAAGCCAUAUAUAUCACAAAAAGGAGCAUAAACUGCACGGCUACUAUAUAUUGUUGAAGCUCUAUGAUUUUUAAAUUCUUUAUGAACGAUGUACCUCCGAUGUACUUUUAUUUUUUCUUCUUUUUGUCAUUUUGAGAUAAAUUUUUCUCCUCGAUCUCUUUAGAUGUUCAUAACUAAAUAUUCUUUAAGAUAGAGCGCAAUGUUUUAUCCCUACCACCACAACCCUAUCAUAAAGGAGACUAAAAAUUUGAGUUGGAGAAACAAGAAACUCAAUUCAAUCUAUAGAAAUUAUGAAGCCGUGUGAUAUGAUGAACUAACGGAGCUGCAGAAUGGCCUUUGAAAGUAAUGUUAAAAGCUUAAAACCUUUUUGAGUUUCCUUUAGCAAAUGUCAUAUGCAUUUUCUCUGAUCAAUGCACGAGAAAAUAUAACUUAGAGAUUGUUUAUCAAACGUUAGAAGUUUGUUAUUUGUUUUUGUGAUUUAUGUCUGAUUUUUAGAUAUUUACAUUUGAAUGGAAAAAAUAAAUUUUUAUAUCUUUUAUUUGAAUGGAAAAGGUUUGCAUGAAAAAUAAAUAUUAUAUUCCAAAAAUAUCUGUAUAAAAUAGUUUAUUUCCUCAACUAUAAGAUCUAAUCCUUUUUUGUUUUAAUUUAUGAGGAUAUAAUUAUCAAAGAAUCAAGUUUAAAACCUUUUUUUUUUGUUAUAAAAACAAAUAAGAUGUCAUUUAUACUCAUAUAUUAAAAAAAAAAAAGAAAUCUAAACGUUUCAUUCAAUUUUUUUUUAUUUAAAUCCAUUCAAACUUCUGAAAAAUUCAGAUUCAUUCUAAUUUCAGACUUUAAAAAAAAAUGUUAUCUUACUACAAACUAAAUUCCAAACUUAAUAAAUUAAUAUCAGAUCCCAGCCACAAUUCGCAUAUGAAAUGUUUGAGAACGAAGUUGUGAGAAAAUGCAGUCAGAAUCGACUGCCAUCAAUUAACAAGUUCCUUGGGAGGAAACAUGUUCAAUUUCUUUUUCUUUUUCUUUUUUUCCAAAAUUUUAAUGUGGAAAAUUAAUUCGGAUGCCGGGGUUAGUCCAACCACAGCACUCAUACUGGGCCGUGCGAGUUAAUUUUUGGGCCAAGUUCUUAACAUAUUUACUCAAUAUUUUGGAUGACAAAAUUGCCCAUAAACGCCCUGCAAGGACAUAACUGCAGAAAACAGGCUGGAGUAAAGUAUGCGACUAUGCGGUAACAAAACUUUCGGGACGCCUGCGUUAAUGACUUUUUGUUACUGCCACAAAGCAGUCACAAAAAGGUCAUUUGUGACUGCGGAGUGAUCACAUAAAACUCCUCCUCCUUGUAGUGCCACCUGCAAAAUAAUCCAUACUAGACCUCCUAAUUCUUCAUUUUCAUCCCUAUUAUUAAGUUAACUCGAUUGAAAUAUAUAUUUAUGAAAUUACAUGCACCAACUAUUUAUCGAGAAUUACAUUAAAUUAUGUAUAUAGCUAAUGUAAGAUCAAUUUGGAGAACUAAAAAUAUGUUAAUAAAAAUAGAAAACCGGGUUAUAUCGUUUGUCCCUCUUGUUCAUGUAUCGAUUUUUUUUUUUUAAAUUCCGCGGAACUACUGCAGCUACAGUGCUGGAAAGGAGCAAAUAUGUCGGAUUAUGCUAAGGAUUGCAUUAAAUGAACAAGAAGCUAUCCUAUAUUCUCUCAUUUUGCUAAAAGAUAAGGCAGUGAAAUAACUUCUAUUCUACUUCUACUUUGAAGAAUUUUACUGCUUCUCAAUCAACUACAUCAGCAGAAACUAUCAUAUUUCGCCACAUCAGCUUCAAUGACAGCUACUAAAGCACACAUUCUGGAAUCAUUGAACUCAAUCAUAACCAUCAAAUCAUUGACCACCGAUAGAUUGGCAUCUUAACUGAAUCCAAAGGAUAAAUCGCCUUCCGAAAACCGUUUGAUAAACCGAUCAGUUAGAAAAAGUAUCUACUUUAUUUAAUGUUAUAUAAUCCAAAUAAAUUAGUAUAAAAUAAGCCCCUAAUAGGAUUCUAGGGUUUUGAUUAGAGAAUUAAGAGAGAAUAGAUGAAGAAGUUAAAGAGAAGGGAGAAGAAUUAAUAGGAAUUAAAAUUAAUUUUAUUACUUGCGUCCUAAAAACAUAAUAAGAACCACUUACUUAUAGUAGUUCAAGACAAUCCUAAUUGUAAUUUAAUAAGGACUUUAAUUGAAAUAAGAAAAGCUAAUACUAAUAGGAAAGAAAUUAAAACAAGCAAUUAAAAUAAAAUAAACUAUUAGGGCCCUAACAGCCCCCAUGCAUCUGAUCACAACAAAUAUUCUUGAUGUAUCUGAUCACAACAAAUAUUCUUGUGAGGUCAAUUUUAUAGGGAAAGCAGCGUCUCCUUCAAGUUUCGGUAAAAGUUAUCAAUGCCGGACCAGCAGCAGGGAGAUAAGGACCAAGACCCUAACGGCCAAGACCGCAAUGGUAAAAACCCUAAUGGCCAAGGCCCUAAAGGAAAAAGGCCUAUAGAUCAUACUCGUGAUGCUUCACCACCUGUGCGGAAUCGGAUGAAUGCUGCUAAGGGUCCUGAGUUCGAUGAUAACUUUCCUCCUGGUUACAGGUUCAAGCCUCACGACAUAGAGCUUCUAGUUCAUUACUUGCGGAGGAAGAGAAUGAAUGAACCUUUGCCACCAAAUCGGAUUAAGGAAGUUCACUUGUACAAAUUUAAUCCUGAUACACUUUCAGGUUAAAAAUACCCACCACCCCAUUUCUCUUUUUUGUUUCUUUUGUUUUUUUGCAAUUGCCUUGCUGGUAUUUUUCUUUAAAUUAAGUAAUGCACUUACGCAUAUUAAGUUCUUUCUUUUUCUUGAGUUCAUUUGGUUAUUAAUUAGAGUGUAACUUCUUGAGUUUCUUGAAAUGGUUUAGUUUCUUGAGUUAGAAGUGUUUCCUUUGCGUUCGUUAUACAUAUAGUCUCAUAAUUUGAUUUGUUUUCGUACUUUGGUAAUGCUCUUAGCGCUUUUCUUGAGUUCAUUUGUAAUUGGAGUGGGCAUUUCUUGAGUUUCUUGAAAUAAAAUGGUCUGCUCUUCAGUUUCUUGAGUUAAAAGUUACUUCUUUGCGUUGUUGAAUGCUGAUUUAAUUUUCUACAUAUGGUCUCGUAGUUUGGUGCUUGUAUGUAUCCAAAACAAAGACUAUAAAUAUUUAUGUUGAUAUUAUUCCGUAUUCCAUAUAAUGGAAUCAGGAAGUGUAGAUCUUUUUUUUUUUUUUGGGUGAUUGAUACAAUGAUGAUUCUGUAUUAAUAAUGCACAGAAAAGUAUAAGCCGUUUGGUGAGAAUGAAUGGUACUUUUUUACUCCAAGAGAGAGAAAGUACAAAAACGGGACAAGACCCAAUAGAGCUGCUGGAGAUGGAUUCUGGAAGGCAACUGGAGCUGACAAACCUAUCAAAAACGACGACGUUGUCGUUGGAUUCAAGAAGGCAUUGGUCUUCUACAUGGGAAAACCCCCAAGGGGAGAUAAAACUGAAUGGAUAAUGCAUGAAUUUAGAUUGGAGGGUCCUCCAAGGACCAGAAUCAGUGGAGAUGACAUGAGGGUAACUAAAUUUUGUAGCUUCUUUCUGUGUCAUAUGUGAUGUGUUGCAGCAAUUUUACAAUGUUGGUUUGCUGAUGAGUUUUGCUUUUAUAUAUUAUGUUGAUUGCAGUUAGAUGAUUGGGUACUGUGUAAGAUAUAUAAGAAAAGGGACCAGGAUAGAUCUAAGCUGUCGUCUUCAAGACCUUCAACUUCGCAACGGGAUGAUUCAAUUUCAGGCCAAGAUGAUCCACAAUCAGACACUGAAUUUCAGGAUAAUGGAGCCAUUGAUAUGGGAGUUGAAGACUCUGCUACGCUGCCCAAUGAAACUUUCAUGCCUCACGGUCCUGAAGGUCCUCGAAUCAUUGAUAUGUCUGGUUUCUACAAUCAGGGAGGAUUUCUCAAUUCAUAUGAUGAUACUUUCAUUUAUCAUCAGAGCCACUUUGUUAAUCACAAUGUCCCAUAUUCUCAAGGCAGGGUUCCUGAAAUGCCUAAUUACUAUGUUCCAUAUGCUCAAGGCAGGGUCACUGGAAUGCCUAAUCACAAUGUUCCCUAUUCUCAAGGAAGGCUCCCUCGAUUGGCUAAUCACAAUGUUUCAGAUUCUCAAGGAAGGUUCCCUGGAAUGACAAAUCAAAAUGUUUCAGUUUCAGUUUCUCAGGGGAGGUUCCCUACAAUUGCUCCUUAUUCGUAUAACAAUUCUAUGGGGCAGAGCUCUCCAUGGACUCAACAUAUAAUGAUUCCGACUGCUAAUCAGAAUCCUAAUGAAGCUGCCGAAUCAUCAGCAGCAGCAAGGGGAAGACCUUUCCAGGCAUAUCCUCAUCAACAUAUGUUUGCUACUUCAAAUCGGAAUCCUAAUCAACCUGCAGAAAUAUCAUCAUCAGCAGCAGCAAGACCUUUCCAGACAUAUCCUCAUCAUCAUAUGUUUGCUACUUCUAAUCAAGUGGCAGAAUCAUCAUCAGCUGCAGCAGCAAGACCAUUUCAAGGUUUGGAGAGCGAUAUGAAAUUUGAACAGUUAAAUGAAUGUCCCCCGGAUGAUUUUUUGAAGGACCCUUCUGACGACAAUUGCUUUGAUCCGGAUUAUCAUAACUCCCGGAAAUUCUAACUCUGCCAUUUUUUUAUCCUUCGAUGAUCGAUGAUGACUGGCUUUGACAGAUUUGUUGAUUGAAAACGUAGUCAUAGUUACUACUAACUUUGUGCUUGACGUGAACAUUUCCAUAGAUUUUUCUCUAGGACGAUUAAUGGAUUAUUUUCUUAGAGGACUCUAUCUUCUAUUUUAGUUGUGGACCCAAUUUCUCUCACUUUGCAAGUGCCUCAUGUUGAUAGAUUUUAAAUUUGUCUUGAUUGCCAUGCAAAUUUUUAAAUAAGGUGGAUGUGGCUAUCCUUUUAUAAAUCACACUGAUUCAUAAAUAUUAUUCCCGCUUCCUAUGUCAUUAAAAGUAUAGAUUUUUGGUUUGUUAUAAUAUAUGACAUGGGGAACCCGGCUGAAACUUUUUUGGUUCAAUUACAAUGGUUACGCGUUGCCCAUUUGGUUACUUUAUAUUUUGUUGACAUAGGGUUACAAGCUUCUGGCAGCUGCUGUUUCUUCUGGAUAUAUAUAAUGCUAUUACAUUUUCCAUGGGGUAUGCCCUAUUUUUUCAGCCUUAAAAACUUUCAUGGUCUCCCUCGAUGUUUUCAGAAUCCUAAGAGGGAAGUGGGGAAAUCUAAUGCUACAAUAUAGUAAAUCCAAAACCAUUUCUCUUUGAUCUGGCAACUUCUGGGUGUCCACUAGAACAUACUAGAAAACAAAUUUUCAUGGAAGUGGCAUCGCAUUAUUUGUCGGUGGAUAUGCCAAAUGCUCAGGAGUAGGUGGAAAUAACCUAGGAAGCAAGUAGCAACUAUGCUCAUCUCUCCUGUAAAAUAAUGCCCGCAAGCAAUUUGACUGGCUUAAAGUUAUGACAAAGAUGCCCAUUUUCAAUGUGCACUUGUUUUUGCUAUCCAGCUGUUCAGUUCUCAACUCACCCCACCAACCAACUAUACAUUUCAAUAUUUGGCGAACAUUCGAUGCACUAACCAGCAGCUCCAAUAAAUAGCCUGGAACUCAGUAUUCUCAAGUGUGUCAAACUAAGUUGCAUAACGUUCCCGAAGUCAAUGCCUUGCUAUUCUUAUUCUUCUUAUCCAAUUUUCUUGUUCUCUUUUAUUGUCACAAGCUCUUUCAUUGUUGCAAAUGCUGGUAAUUUUAACAAAGAUGUUGAUAUUACAUGGGGUGAUGGACGUGCCAAGAUUCUCAACAAAGGCAAGCUUCUUACUCUGUCUCUCGACAAAGCAUCUGGCUCUGGCUUCCAGUCUAAGAAUGAAUUUUUCUAUGGAAAAUUUGAUAUGCAGCUCAAGCUUGUUCCCAACAACUCUGCUGGCACUGUCACUGCCUACUAUGUAAGCUCCUUAAUGAAAGAUUCUUUUUCCCUUUCACAUAUAAUUUGUUUGUCAGUCGUCACAUCAUUAUGUUGAUACGUAGACUUGCUAUGGUGCAGCUAAAAUCUCCAGGGGCAUCAUGGGAUGAAAUAGACUUCGAAUUCCUGGGGAAUUUGAGUGGCAACCCUUACAUUGUUCACACAAAUGUCUACACACAAGGAUAAGGUGACAGAGAGCAACAAUUCUACCUCUGGUUUGAUCCCACUGCCGAUUUUCACACUUAUUCAAUCCUCUGGAAUCCAGGUCACAUUGUGUUAGUACAUACACAACCCUGAUGUGAGCGAAAUUCGAAUCCUGGAUUUAAUUUUAUCAAGCUCGCAUUAACUUUUUAUUACAUUUUCUUUUUGUUCAGCUUCUAUAUCGAUGGCAGACCCAUCAGAGAAUUCAAGAAUCUCGAAUCAUUCGGCAUUCCGUAUCCCAAAAAACAAUCAAUGAGAAUGUAUGCUAGCCUGUGGAAUGCCGAUGACUGGGCUACAAGAGGGGGCCUGGCGAAAACAGACUGGUCUCAGGCUCCCUUCACUGCUUCCUUCGGAAACUUCAAUGCAAAAGCUUGUGUUUUGUCCAUCGGAAUAUCUUCUUGCAGCUCGAAUCCCGCAACUAAAAAUACAUGGUUUUCACAGGAGCUCGACUCUUCAAGCCAAAGGAAGCUAAAAUGGGUGCAGCAAAAUUACAUGGUUUACAAUUAUUGCGCAGACACAAGUUGGUUCCCUCAGUGCCUCCCCCAAGAAUGCACCAACAAAAAUUAGGACGAUGAAUCUUUUCUAAUCCAUUCAGUGUUUGGAAAUUCGUAUUUCAAUUAUAUUUUUAUUCUUUCUUCUACUUUUCUCAAUAGGGUUUCUUGAUUGCCAUCAAUCAUAUAACAUAAGAAUAUCGCUUCCCACUUGAUGCAUCUAAAUAAUAGUAAUAAAUGAUGUAGGAUGGUUUCAUCAAAAUUCAUUUUUCUUUUUAUUUUUUCAUUUUGGACUUCGGUUGGCAUCCUCAUCAUUAGAUAAUUAUUCUACAAAGUAAUAUAAUAUAUUAUUUACCCUUAUUAUAUAUGCCAAUUAUCAAGAAGAAAUGGGUAGGUAUUGAUAUUAAGGACUCAUCAGGUCCCUGCUAGGCCCAAAUGAAAUUAGUUCAAGAAUCAUGAACCUUGCAGGCCGAGCUCUAAUGGGCCAUUUAUGAUUUGCAUAAGUAUCCCAAACUUCUUCCAAAGAUAACUGCAAAAAAUUUAACAAAGUUGAUUGUUUUCCUCAAAUCGAACAAUAUUCAGAUUUUGUUCAGUGUUCAAUUACCCUAAGAAUUUUCUUUCCUAACUCAUGCAGAGCAAUCCAUAAUCUCAUUUCGCCAUGGCUUUUAUCCAAGUCACAUGUAGCCGCCCAUGCAUGGGGAGAUUGUAUAUUACAUUGAAAAUUUAUACCGUUAUGAUACUGCUCACAGGAAACAUGUCACCAAGUGUUAAGAAAGACGAGUUAUAUAAUACGUAAUUAACUAAUCACUGAACCCAAAGCAUGCGCCAACAAUGUCCUAAUUUGCCUCAACGACUUGUUUAUUAAGGCAAAGCCGGCCAGGGUCUUUUGAGAAAGCUUCAGCCAAGAUGCUGGAAGAGAGUGCUAGAGAGUGUUAAAGUGUAAUUUCCUUUACAAUAUGUUUGAACUGACACUUUGAAUGUCUUGAAAUUAAUACCAAUUUUUUUUGGGAUACUGCAUGUUAUAAUCAUUCUCAGGUGUGGACGCCGUAUUUUUUUUAAUACGGAUACACUUUUAUACUGUGUUGUUUAAAAGAUUUAGUUUUUAAAUGAACUGUAAAAUCGUAGGGCUUAAGUGAGUUAAAAGUUAAUUUUCUUAAAUUCUACGGUUUUAAAGUAUAUUCGCAUGAAAAUAAAAUAAGGAUGUCCACACUAUAAAAAGACUACUGCAUGUUAUAAGAAAGGUUAAAAAAAUUUUAUGAAUCAAUUUGUGGGUUGCAUGAACAGACUUCGUACUCAACUGUCAUUAUUCUUUGGACCUACAUUCUGGUUUCUCUCCUUUUUUUGUUUAAAUAAAGAAUCAAAUCUCUUUAUCUCGGCUUACUGUUGCAAGAAAAUUAAAAAGUACAAACCAAGAGAACGAAUACAAUACAACAUAAUCUGUUCCCCAACCCUCGAGGUAAUUAAUGGAAAGUGGGCAACAAUGUAUUUGACAGCAUUUCAAUAGAAGGAUGAUAUUCUGGUUUAUUUUCAAGGAUAGAUUGUGUUCGAGUAACAAUGUUUUAGAUGAUAUAUCACCAGCUGGCCUUUUGUAUCGUAGUCAUCUAAUGGACCCCCGUUCCUUGACCUGAUCCUGUUCACAAGUACGACAAUGACUAACCGACCGUCUGUCAAAUGCUUGAAAGAAUUUGACGCGGGAUUGAGCCCCAAGGACUGUGGUGGUGGAAUCGGCAGAAGCAAAAGUACAACCUAAACCCGUAUCUACAUAGAUAUGUGCGAGUACCGGAUAAUCAUGAUCGCAAUUCAAGAUCAAGUGGGUAUGCAUGCAGGCACCGAACCCCAUUUGGAAUUUGGGGCCAUGUCAUAUAAUCUGUCUGCAAAUGAGAAACAGCCAAAUUUGCCUCUCUUUCAAUUCAUGGCACAGCCAGCUGUUGACAACUUUGCACUCUCAGAAACGGCAAACAUGAAACAACCAUCCAAACGCACCCUCUUCUUCACUCUUCUUUUGUCCAUUUCUAUACUCCAAUCCCCUAUAUAAUAUUACAUUACAUCCAUGCAAAACUAGUAAUAAUUUAUGCACUAUUCAGUAUAGCGAGCUCCAGAUCCCAAAAUCCUGAAAGAUAUGGGUUCUGAUUCGUUUGGGGUGAUGAUGUGUACUUUUGUUGGGCGUUUAGCUGCUGUUUCUGCUGGUAAUUUCAAUGAGGAAUUUGAUAUCACAUGGGGAGAUGGUCAUGGGAAAAUAUUCAACAACGGCCAACUGCUUACUCUCAAUCUCGACCAUUACUCUGGCUCAGGCUUCCAGUCCAAGAAACAAUACUUAUUCGGCAAGAUUGAUAUGCAACUCAAGCUUGUCCCUCGCAACUCUGCUGGCACUGUCACUGCUUAUUAUGUACGCUUUUCUUUUUAUCAACACCUGCUGUUUUCAUUGAUUUCUUUGUAAUGAUGCUAAUUAAUAUUAAUUAUGAGAGUCUUUGAUGUUGUAGCUACGCUCACAAGGACCAACAUGGGAUGAGAUAGACUUUGUAUUCUUGGGAAACCUCAGUGGUCAUCCGUACACAGUUCACACAAAUGUGUACAGCCAAGGCAAGGGUGACAGAGAGCAGCAAUUUCAUCUCUGGUUUGACCCCACAGUCAACUUUCACACUUAUUCAGUUCUCUGGAAUCCUCAACGCAUUGUGUAAAGUCCAUUUCUCUCUUAUUAGUAUGUCAUUCGCUUCUACAAUUUUAUUGACUUGUGUUGUUCAAUUAAUUGCAUUAUUUCAGCUUCUCUGUUGAUGGUAUUCCAAUUAGAGAGUUCAGAAACCUGGAGGCUAUAGGCGUUCCAUUACCAAAGAAUCAGCCAAUGAGAAUAUACUCAUCUCUUUGGAAUGCUGAUGACUGGGCUACAAGAGGUGGGCUAAUCAAGACGGAUUGGAGCCAAGCUCCUUUCACUGCUUCUUACAGAAAUUUCAAGGUUGAUGGUAGCCGUGCCUGGCUCUUGCAACAAAUGGAUUCCACAAACCAACGGAGGCUUUACUGGGUGCGGAAGAAUCACAUGAUUUACAAUUACUGCACUGACACCAAGCGAUUUCCCCAGGGCUUUCCCAAAGAAUGCGCUGUCCAUUAAAGCUGGCUGUUCCAAAAACUUUAGCGCCUAGGUACAGGAGCUGUCUUGUAUAACAUAACAUUAAAUGAUAAAAUGUAAGCUAAUUAGUAGUGAGGGAUGCCUUUAGCACUAUCCGAAUUAGGUAGUCGGCUGGUUUUGUAUUUUGAAUAGCUAUUUAUUAACAUAAUAAUAAUAUUUAUUUUAAGAUUCUAAUUUUUUAAAGUUGCGUAUAUAUUGAAGGAAAAUUUAAUUUUUAGGAAUCUCCCUAUUAUUAUUCUCAUUCAUAAUUAUCUCUAUAUUUAAUAAUCUUUACUUUAAAAAUAAUUUUUUUUAUAAAAAUGUGAUAUUUAUGGUAUAAUAAUUAUUCUAAGCCUUUGAAACUUUAUUUGGUUAAUAAUUACAAGAAAAAAAUUCAACGUUUUCCCUUUCCCAAAAAUAACUACUCUAUUAAAAUUAUAAAUGUUAGAUUUUAAAACAUCUAGUAUUCUAUUCAUUCUAUUUCAAACUUCAAAACUAAUAGAUAUUGAAUCAAUGAUACUCACCCAAAAAAAAUUUCUCUCAUAUCUACUCGGAAUAUUAUUCUAAUCUUCCCUAUAAACUUCAUUGCCAGCAUCUAACAUUUGACUAUCAUAUUCAUCUCAACUAAUCAACCUUUUACGUGCUAUCGUUCUAAUUUUCUAUUUUAAUUUAUUAUUAUUAUUUUUUAAAUUUAUUAUAUUUUUUUAUUUGUUGCAUUAAUAUAUGACUUGAAUCAGUUAUGAAGUUUGUGAUUUGUAUAGCAUAAAUGUUGAUAAUUGACAAAUUUAACAAACAUGGUGAGCUUAGUUAAUGUUCUUUUAGAAAUAAAUAUAUAUCUUUUCAUUUAUUAUUAUUAUCUGCUGUACCGUACAUCUCUGGUUUGACCCCACAGUCAACUUUCACACUUAUUCAGUUCUCUGGAAUCCUCAACGCAUUGUGUAAAGUCCAUUUCUCUCUUAUUAGUAUGUCAUUCGCUUCUACAAUUUUAUUGACUUGUGUUGUUCAAUUAAUUGCAUUAUUUCAGCUUCUCUGUUGAUGGUAUUCCAAUUAGAGAGUUCAGAAACCUGGAGGCUAUAGGCGUUCCAUUACCAAAGAAUCAGCCAAUGAGAAUAUACUCAUCUCUUUGGAAUGCUGAUGACUGGGCUACAAGAGGUGGGCUAAUCAAGACGGAUUGGAGCCAAGCUCCUUUCACUGCUUCUUACAGAAAUUUCAAGGUUGAUGGUAGCCGUGCCUGGCUCUUGCAACAAAUGGAUUCCACAAACCAACGGAGGCUUUACUGGGUGCGGAAGAAUCACAUGAUUUACAAUUACUGCACUGACACCAAGCGAUUUCCCCAGGGCUUUCCCAAAGAAUGCGCUGUCCAUUAAAGCUGGCUGUUCCAAAAACUUUAGCGCCUAGGUACAGGAGCUGUCUUGUAUAACAUAACAUUAAAUGAUAAAAUGUAAGCUAAUUAGUAGUGAGGGAUGCCUUUAGCACUAUCCGAAUUAGGUAGUCGGCUGGUUUUGUAUUUUGAAUAGCUAUUUAUUAACAUAAUAAUAAUAUUUAUUUUAAGAUUCUAAUUUUUUAAAGUUGCGUAUAUAUUGAAGGAAAAUUUAAUUUUUAGGAAUCUCCCUAUUAUUAUUCUCAUUCAUAAUUAUCUCUAUAUUUAAUAAUCUUUACUUUAAAAAUAAUUUUUUUUAUAAAAAUGUGAUAUUUAUGGUAUAAUAAUUAUUCUAAGCCUUUGAAACUUUAUUUGGUUAAUAAUUACAAGAAAAAAAUUCAACGUUUUCCCUUUCCCAAAAAUAACUACUCUAUUAAAAUUAUAAAUGUUAGAUUUUAAAACAUCUAGUAUUCUAUUCAUUCUAUUUCAAACUUCAAAACUAAUAGAUAUUGAAUCAAUGAUACUCACCCAAAAAAAAUUUCUCUCAUAUCUACUCGGAAUAUUAUUCUAAUCUUCCCUAUAAACUUCAUUGCCAGCAUCUAACAUUUGACUAUCAUAUUCAUCUCAACUAAUCAACCUUUUACGUGCUAUCGUUCUAAUUUUCUAUUUUAAUUUAUUAUUAUUAUUUUUUAAAUUUAUUAUAUUUUUUUAUUUGUUGCAUUAAUAUAUGACUUGAAUCAGUUAUGAAGUUUGUGAUUUGUAUAGCAUAAAUGUUGAUAAUUGACAAAUUUAACAAACAUGGUGAGCUUAGUUAAUGUUCUUUUAGAAAUAAAUAUAUAUCUUUUCAUUUAUUAUUAUUAUUAUUAUUUGAUCUUUUUGGUAAUUGUUGAAAUUCACCAAAAAUGUAAAAUCUGGGGACGUCGGACGUCCAUACUGUAUGUUCUAUUUACAUCCAAGUCCCUUUAUGUUAUUAUUAUUAUUAUUUGAUUGAGAAAACCAAAGGUUGCAAUUAUUAGGUGUAUUAACCGUUCACGCCCCCAAUCAAGAAGAUGCUCAAUCCCAAAAUGCCAUAAAGCUUGGAUCCUAAAUUUGUGAACAUGCAUGAAUACUACAUGAAAGAAUCAAAGAUGAAUAUAAGAAUUAAAUAACUGGAUACAAUUGUGAUUGUAUUUGUUCUUGAUUUAUCUUUUUAUUGUCAUGUUACUGUUGGGUGUACUAUUUUAACAGGACAUUAAAAAAAAAAUCUCGGAGUGGGUGUCGGUGAAUUUUAAUCGUUUGCUUGCAAGAUGUUUGAUAAAAGUCCCAAAUGAGAGAAGUCGUUUUAAUGGCAAUAGAAUAUUUUGCUAGUCCUUACCCGUUAAGUCAGUCAAAAAUUUAGAGUACCAUUGCAUAUGUGAAGAGGUUUGGUCGUUUCUACGUUAAAACCUAGCCAAAGAAGAACAUAUAGCAAGCAUGCGAAGAGUAGAGAACAUAAUCUCAUGAUAUUUAUAUGCUAAAUUUUGUAUUACAUUGAGAAAGUUGGACUAAUUUGCCAUUUUAUUGACGACAAAAUACAACAAAGAAUCAAAGAAUUGACAAAAAGAAUAAAUUUUUUUGAUGUAUGUGUUGAUUUUGCAAAACUUCUAAGAGGUUCUGCAUUCUGCAGGGAGUCCCUGGGGAAAUCUCUUUGCAUCAGCGCAAUAAUUGUAAAUCAUGUAAUUCUUCUGCACCCAUUUCAGCCUUUCUUGACUUGUUGAAUCAAGCUCUUGUGAGAACCAGGCACUGCUGCUGGAUGGAGAGGAAGGUGAACUUGAAGCGCAAGAAGAUUUUCCAUUAGACCAGACACAGGCAUCAGCGUUGAAGUUUCUGUAGGAAGCCGUGAAGGGAGCAUGCGUCCAAUCUGUCUUGACAAGGCCACCUCUUGUAGCCCAGUCAUCAGCAUUCCAGAGAGAUGAGUAUAUUCUCAUUGGCUGAUUCUUUGGGAAUGCAACUCCAAUUGACUCUGAGUUCUUGAACUCUCUUAUGGGAGUACCAUCCACAGAGAAGCUGAAAAUUAAGUAAACAUUGAUAAGUCUAAGCAGAUUGAAUGACAAGGAAAGAAGAAAUGAUGGAGAUUGAAGGAAAAUAUUGCUUACACAAUGCGCUGAGGAUUCCAGAGGAUAGAAUAGGUGUGAAAGUCAGCAGUGGGGUCAAACCAGAGGUGAAAUUGUUGUUCUUUGUCACCUUUGCCAUUUGUGAAUACAUUGGUAUGCAGAGUGUAAGGGUCACCACUUAAAUUCCCCAAGAACUCGAAGUCUAUCUCAUCCCAUGUUGAUCCUGGCGAUUUUAACUGCGUGAACAAAAAG